This 120-nucleotide ribosomal RNA is filed under the name Paenibacillus sp. 7541. RNAcentral describes it as "partial 23S ribosomal RNA". The record is from RNAcentral. Lineage: Bacteria; Bacillati; Bacillota; Bacilli; Caryophanales; Paenibacillaceae.
CUCGGGGAUAAACACAUCACUUCGAAGGCGGAGUGAAGUCGAUUCAGGGGUAGGGGAGCGUUGUAUACAGCAUUGAAGGUGUACCGUAAGGAGCGCUGGAGCGUAUACAAGUGAGAAUGC